This 67-nucleotide transfer RNA is filed under the name Sermyloides sp. BMNH 846593. Its description in RNAcentral is "tRNA-Ser". Lineage: Eukaryota; Metazoa; Arthropoda; Insecta; Coleoptera; Chrysomelidae. The record is from RNAcentral.
AGUUAAUGAACUUGUAAAGUAUAUAUUUUGAAAAUAUAAAAAAGAAAUAUUAAUUUUCUAUUAACUU